Molecule: long non-coding RNA, 1445 nt
Organism: Pongo pygmaeus (Bornean orangutan)
Lineage: Eukaryota; Metazoa; Chordata; Mammalia; Primates; Hominidae
Exons: 4
Source: RefSeq, a predicted model, not a curated record
GACUAUACGGAAGCAAGGAAUUCUAGGAGGAGGAAGCAGUAUUCUUAAAGUAAUGGAGAUGCAAAAGAGAUUCCCAUUUUAUGCUAGUUUCUGCUUCUAAAAUAACUGCCUUUGUUUUUCAUAACCAGUCCUACCAUUACACAACUUUGCUGCUGUAUCUUUUCAAAAUUUUUGUGACCUCAUCUAAUCCUCUUCUAAUUUACUUAGUGACUCUUAUUGUUUUCUACCAAAUGGUGAACUUUCUACUGAUUAUAAACAUUUGGGAAUAUGAAAGCACUAUUCAAAGUCACAGGAGAAGGUAAUACAUUUCUGUGGCUCAGAUAAGUUUAAUAACUCCCUCAAGGUCAUACAGUUACUAAAUGUUGCAUCCAGAAGAUGCAGCAAAAUAUUAGCAAUGAAAAUGCUGAUGGUUUCAGUGAGAAAUCAGAGUCAGAUGUGGUAAAAACCUUCAGGCUAAAUUUGACCCCACAUUUCCUGACGAUUUUUGGUCAUGGCAGGCAGGAGCAGGAGUUCUAGCAGAGAUGCUCCUGAGUGAGGCUGGUCUCAGAAUUUUGUUCAUGCCUUUAUUGCUUAAAUAACCAGAGUUUAAGACUCAACUUUAACUUCAGACAUCUGUAACAAGAACAACAAAAUAACAAUAGCAACAACAACAACAAAAAUUCCGGAAAACUUACAAGCACUGUUCUAAGUUUUACCUGUAUGAACUGAAUGAAUCUUCAAGAAAACCUUCUUGGCUCUCAGGGAGUUCUUUUGAGUCCUCACCAAUACUCCUGGAGCUCCCGUAAAUAUUACUACCUCAGAUCUGAAGCUUGUUUGAAAAUUGAAUCCUGGCUGCAGUGUUGAUCUGUAAUACUCAAGAUCCUUGGCAUAUUCUCAUUACAACCUGCUGAAACCAACUAUAUAAGUGUUCGGAAGUAAAAUCAUCGUUAUGCAGAUUCCACAUUUUCUAUAUCUAUUUUCUAUGUCCUGAAGGAUCCAUCUCAGGAUACUACAUUGCAUUUAGUCAUCAUGUCUCCUUAAUAUUCUCCAACUGACAAUGUCGGAGUUGUUCCUCGUCUUCCAUGACCUUGGUACUUUUGAGGAUUACUGGUCAGAUAUUCUAUAGAAUGUCCCUCAACUUAGGUCUGCCUGACUUUUCUCAUGAUUAAACUGAGGUUAUGGAUUUGGAGACAGUCCCACAGAAGUCAUGUGGCCAUUUCAGUGUAUUGCUGCAUGAUACCAACAUGACUUAAUACUGGUGAUAUUAACCUCGAUCACUUGGUUAAGGUCAUGUCUGCCAGCUUUGUUCAUGGUCUUCUAUCUAAUAGAAGCAAGUCAAUAAGUCCAGUUCAUACUCAAGAUGAGAGGAAUUAACUUUAACUUACUAGUGAGAAAUUUAUUAAAAAGUUUUUAGACAUAUGUCAGAACCACCAAAAUAAUUAAUAAAUGUUUUGGGAAGAUAUAAA